RNAcentral lists this transfer RNA (68 nucleotides) under Ambloplites rupestris. RNAcentral describes it as "tRNA-Cys". It matches the Rfam family "tRNA". Rfam says of the family: Transfer RNA (tRNA) molecules are approximately 80 nucleotides in length. Their secondary structure includes four short double-helical elements and three loops (D, anti-codon, and T loops). The record is from RNAcentral. Lineage: Eukaryota; Metazoa; Chordata; Actinopteri; Centrarchiformes; Centrarchidae.
AAGCUCCGAGGUGUUUAACAUAUUAGAUUGCAAAUCUAAAGAAGUAGGCUAACGCCUGCCGGGGCUUU